Molecule: ribosomal RNA, 271 nt
Filed under: uncultured bacterium
Lineage: Bacteria
Description: partial 16S ribosomal RNA
Rfam family: Bacterial small subunit ribosomal RNA
Source: RNAcentral
UACGGAGGGUGCGAGCGUUAAUCGGAAUCACUGGGCGUAAAGCGUGCGUAGGCUGCGUGGCAAGUCAGACGUGAAAGCCCUCGGCUCAACCGAGGAAUUGCGUUUGAAACUGCCAUGCUAGAGUCUCGGAGAGGUUGGCGGAAUUCCAGGUGUAGGAGUGAAAUCCGUAGAUAUCUGGAGGAACACCGGCGGCGAAGGCGGCCAACUGGACGAGUACUGACGCUGAGGUACGAAAGCGUGGGUAGCAAACAGGAUUAGAUACCCGGGUAGU